Molecule: ribosomal RNA, 940 nt
Filed under: uncultured bacterium
Lineage: Bacteria
Description: bacterial SSU rRNA
Rfam family: Bacterial small subunit ribosomal RNA
Source: RNAcentral
AACGUACGCUGGCGGCACGCCUAACACAUGCAAGUCGAGCGAGGUAGCAAUACCUAGCGGCAGACGGGUGCGUAACAUGUGGGAAUCUGCCUUUUGGUUCGGAACAACACGGGGAAACCUGUGCUAAUACCGGAUAAGUCCUUACGGAGAAAGUUUUAAUGCCAAAAGAUGAGCCCGCAUUUGAUUAGCUAGUUGGUGAGGUAAAAGCUCACCAAGGCGAUAAUCAAUAGCUGAUUUGAGAGGAUGAUCAGCCACACUGGGACUGAGAUACGGCCCAGACUCCUACGGGAGGCAGCAGUGGGGAAUCUUGCACAAUGGGCGAAAGCCUGAUGCAGUGAUGCCGCGUGAGUGAAGAAGGCCUUUGGGUUGUAAAGCUCUUUUGUCGGGAAAGAUAAUGACUGUACCCGAAGAAUAAGGUCCGGCUAACUUCGUGCCAGCAGCCGCGGUAAUACGAAGGGACCUAGCGUAGUUCGGAAUUACUGGGCGUAAAGAGUAUGUAGGCGGCUAGAUAAGUUAAUUGUGAAAGCCCAAAGCUUAACUUUGGAAUUGCAAUUAAAACUAUUUAGCUGGAGUAUGAUAGAGGAAAGCGGAAUACAUAGUGUAGAGGUGAAAUUCGUAGAUAUUAUGUAGAACACCAGUUGCGAAGGCGGCUUUCUGGAUCAUUACUGACGCUGAGAUACGAAAGUAUGGGUAGCGAAGAGGAUUAGAUACCCUCGUAGUCCAUACCAUAAACGAUGAUUAUUAGAUGUGGGGAAUUAUUUCUCUGUAUCAUAGCUAACGCGUUAAAUAAUCCGCCUGGGGAGUACGACCGCAAGGUUAAAACUCAAAUGAAUUGACGGGGACCCGCACAAGCGGUGGAGCAUGUGGUUUAAUUCGAAGCAACGCGCAGAACCUUACCAACCCUUGACAUGUUCGUCGCGAGACUAAGAAAUUAGUCUCU